GGGACGUGAACGGGAGGAGGGUACUAAGACCAACGGUCUGAAGUCCUGACGAGGAUGUCAACGUAAAUACGAGAGGCCAAGACACUUGAUGUGUUGGCAAAAACCCAGCCAAACACAUUCUGACAAGAUGUUCUCAGUUCCAGCUGAUCCUCAGAGGGUUGAUGCUGCGGCAUAAAGGUUAGUUAUCUGACACGACCCAAGGGCAGGCCUCCCAGAGGGAGCUGACUUCCUGCAGGGCGGGACUGUUUGGCAAACAUCCUGAGAGAAGACUGGGUGGAUGCACAGGACCAGAGGCCAAGGCUGCACACACCAGACACUUGAAAUUGCAGGACUUGUGCCUGAACUCCUGUUCCUGCCCAGGAGGAUCUGGUACUGCUCCAACCGUGAAUGCUAAGACAGAAGUGGGGAGGUCCAGCAAGGCUUGGACCCCAGGAGCUCAUCACCCCAGAGCUGACACUGCUGCUUCCUUAGGCAUGCAGCUUCUUAGCCCAGAGUGUAGACUGCAGUCUUGCUAGAUGACUUUGCAAGGUCCAGGGAGCCACAGGCAGAGGGGCGACUGCCCAGCUGCUCCUCUCCAGCUUCGAACUUUUGAGCUAAAAGAGGCUGUGGAAUUCAUCUGUGGAAGCUGGGGACAGAGGACCAUGUUGGAACAGAAAUGCCCGUCAGUGGGGGAUGGCUAAGCAAGCUUGUGUCUCUGUGCUGUGAAAUACUACACAGUGGCUACGAGGAAGGAGAUUGCUCUCUCUGCUGACACAGCCAGAUCUCCGAGACCUACUGUUAAUGAAAAGCAAGCUGCAUAAAGAUAUUUGUGGAAUGAUACCGUCAUUUUUUGUAGAAAAAUACACACACACAUGUAAACAAAGACAGAGCAAGCGCUGGGGCUGCAUGAAACUGGCUCAGAUGCUGGCUCAGCAACUUGUCUGUGAUCCGGGGGAAGACUUGACCCUCGAUCUCAGCUUCUUCAUCACCAAAACAUCUUGCAGGUUUGUCGUAAAGACUGAACGUAAGCUCUUUGGACGUUAUCUCUGCUCCCACGUGUUGGUUUUCUUUCCCCUAUCUGAGUCUAAUGGCUUUUUCUUUAUUUUAUUUUAUUUUAUUUUUACAGAUGAGAAAACCAAAUACAAAGUAAUUAAGUCGCUUCCUCAAAGUGCCCCAGUUGGUUAAUGUGAGAGCCAGGGCUGUAUGUGGGGUCUCUUCUAUCACAAUCAAUUGGCAUUAAAUCCCUAGGGAGUGGGGUUACUGUGUUUGCUGUGGCUAUUUCUGCCAGUGAGUCCAUGUGGCAGGUGUGUUUGCAGAUGUGUGAUGGGGGCAGCGUUGGACCCACUGCACAGAGAAGGGCCAGGCAGGGAGGGUGGGUGGACCUGCAAGGUUCUGUCUGACUGUUCUCUGACGCUGCUGUCAAGGAAGCCUAGCAGCAGAUAUCAGGGACCGGCCGCAAGGGGCCCAUAGGUACCAGGCAAAGACAGCCAACAGCACAGGGAUGCGGGCAAAACGGGCUGCUGACAGUCUUUCUGGCUACCUAGAAUCUGCCUCUUCGUGUUUGGGUAAUCGCUCUGAUUUGUGAGGCAGAGAGUGCCACCCAUUGCACCACAGAAAAUGACAGACACUUCCCGGUUGCCGUUCCCAUGAGGAUGUUCAGAGAGCUGGGCUCCAGCAGUCAGAGGCACCGUCCUCAUCAGGCUCCACUCGCUCAGAGCUCCAGGGAUGGCUUCCAGGCCUAUGGGGAGUUACCCACCAGCGCUGUCAUCACUAAUUUCAACUAAAGCCCUGAGUUUGAAUUUUAACUGUCACAGACUCCAGGUGGGCUUAUGGCUGUUACUACUUUGUUGAGUGCAAACAAAGGGGAUUUUGUGUUCUGAAGCCAUCGCAUGGGAGCAAGACCUCAGCAGGCUGUGGGUCAGGGAGCUAUGCCAUGUGCUCCAUGCGUCCAGGGGACCAGCCCCGAGGGAACCAGGCCGUAGCUGGCUGCACCCCCACCCCAGGAAAGCGGGCACUUCCAGGGAACCUCCAGGGAAUGACUGGACCCCUGGUUAACUUUCUGGGAAGAAUUCAUGACUAAGUGGUAUUUUCAUCUUCCUCUCCUCCAGUUUUGGCCCUUUUUGUGUUUGUCCAUGGUGCCUGAAGACUCUGCUUUCUGGACUAAGGCCUGAGAAUUUACUUCAGUGUCUACGUGGGAGUCCAGGCUGGCCGUCUGCAUUUUUGUGAUGAAUGGGCAUCCUAACCACUGGAACAUUCUUGAACUGAGUUGCUUCUUUCCAUCUUGCAGACAGAAGGACAAACAUCUCUCCUACUCUUCUGAGGCAACGCUUCAGAUCCGCUCAGCCUCACCACCUCUUGUCUCAGCACCAGCAGUUCCGGAUGGCUCCUGCUGUCAGCGCCUCCCCUCGAGCUGCAGCUCGUGCCUCUCAUCUCCCACCCAGGGGGGUGUUGAUGCCAGACACAGAGGCCCAGGACGCUGCUGUGGCUCACACAGGGAACACUGAAGUGAGGCGGGGAGUUAACGCCCCACGAGGAGACUUUCGACAGAAGGAGACAGUUAGUGGAUAGAUUCUUCUUCCUUUCUCCCUGCAGGUGGACAGUUUUGAGAUGCGGCUUUGUGACUUCCUGGAGAAUGAUCCUGUCCACUUGAACAAUCAGUCUGACGUGGCAGCUGCCAACCCCCCGUGUCUCCUAUUGGCUCCUCCUUUGCUGCUUCGCGUCCGUGUCCCUCACAGCUGGAAAUGCGUUCCUAAUCAGGUGGAAGUACCAUAGCUCCUUGCCUCAGGCUCUGCUUUCUCAGUAGCCCAGGCUAAGAGAACACCACAGAAUUCACAGACAAAACCAUGCCAAUUUCAGCAUCAUUAGUAGCUUUUCGUCAUGUAGGAAUCCUUCCUGGCGUCUCACUCGGUUGUAUCCUAAAUGUGUGACAUUGGGAAAGUCACCUAAUCUCUCUGAGCCUCAUAUUCUUCAGGGUAAUGUGGCGAUAACAAUAAUGCGCGUCUCAUGAAGAGUUGGAGGAAUUGAGAGAAACUUGAUACGGGCCGGUGCUUGUCAUGUAGUGAACGCUCAGUGUCAGCUGCCGUUGUUAUCAUUAUGAAAAUCAGUCCUAUUGGCAACAUGACGGAGCUCUAGGGGAGACAGCAAAAGGAAAGGGCGUCCACUUACAGGUACUUUAGGGAGGUUGGAAAGGUGUGCCUGCACACCUGUGAGCACGUGUUCACGUUACACAAUAAGGCCUCGAGGGUCCAUUCCAUCAUCCAAAGAAGGCCGGAUUUAGAAAUGGAACCUAGACCCCUUCUGGAGUCAGACUUCCACGCCACGGUGAAAGGAUCCUGCUGAGCGGUCGAGCAUUUUGAAGGGCUGUGUAGGUUUAAACUGAAUCAGGACCACAGUGGUCCCAGGUUUUGACAUUUCCUUCUGUGGCUUCCCGCUCAGCGUGCUGGCACGGCCGAGGGACGCCCGGCCUCUCUCCGUGAUCCUGAGCUGUGCCUGGGCUCCGCACAGGAGAUGGCCUGCCUCUCACAGCUGGCCGUCCUUUGAUCCCAGAGUUUCAAUUGUGUUAUGUUUGGCUUUUGCUUGCUGAUGAAGAGAUGUAUAUGGAUUUCAUUUUCUUUAGUCUCUGGCUGCCAAAGAUCUUGGUGUUUGUAAUAUUCGUGGGCAACUAGAUCAACUACAACCACGUUUUUGCUGGGCGGUUUUCACGGUAGCGGGAAGUCAGAAGUGAUGCGUAGGCUCCUAAAUCUUGGGCUUUGUUUAACAUGUAAUUUUUAUGGCCAGUGAGACUGAGUAAGGUCCUAAUAUUUCAGAACUUCAUAUAGGAGGCAAGCCAGAAUGAAAAAUGACACUGUCCGCCAGCCAAACCCAGCCACUGCAUAACGCAUCUUCUCAGAAAAUCAUCCUGACCCUCCUCCAAGCUCACUUUUGUCCUCCAGGUUCGGAAUCCUUGUUAAAUGAACUUCUGGGGCUUAUUUUUCUUUGGUAGUGCAGCAAAUAUAAAAUGUCCUCCACACUACCCACAAACAUGCAGACCAGAUGUCGAUCCCUCAGGACCCUAACUGGUGUUUUCUCCCUGAUGACCGCUUAGCCCGCUAGAGAACGGAAAACGAAAAUCCAAGUUUUACUCUAAGUAUGGAACCUCAGCCCGGUCCUAGCAUUUCGAGUCUCUUUGGGUAACUCAGUCCCUGCUCAGAAACUGCAGUGAAUGUUUCCAAUCCCCUUUUGCUCUGCUCAGAGACGGCGUCUGGGUGGGAUGCACAGCAGCUGGAAGCAGAUGCUCGCUAGAUGGCCUUGGGCCGCACGCAGACUCCUGCAGCAGACGUCAGGAUCUCUGCCCAGGAGCCAGUCCGGGAGGGAUGUGCUGCCUCGGCAGCUGAGAAUGGUCAGCAGACAGUCUCUGGCCCACAGCUCCUCCAGGAUCUGCUUCAGCUGCAGAAAGACAUCUUACCAAGGUCCCAGGCUUCCCAGGGCAGCCCCUCUCCGGCCCUGAUGGAGGCGGGGGGGAAAGACCUGGCCAGCGCGGUGGGUCGCAGCACAACACAGGUGGCCAGUCUCCCUCCAGAGUCCCCUGGGGGGCCGAGGCUUUGCUGGGUCUCAUCACAAUCUCAUCAACUCCUCCCCUGGCCCAAUCCCACUUCCUCCCCCAUUCUUCACAGAUAUGGAUUCCUAAUAAGCAUCUCGCACCCCAAACUCUGUCUCAGCAUCUACUUCCAGAGCAGCCAACUCACAGAGCUCAUCUCUUCUCCCGUCUUCUGCUGUGACAUCCACGCCGUCACUGUGCGACGUGGGAGUGGACUCUGCAGGCUCUUCCCGAUGGCCCCCGGUCUCUGUGCACAGCGGAUACAUGGCACCCGCCGCAUGCUCCGGGCCUCCCGUCCUGUGGGAUACUUCUAACGACAGUCCUGAAGCUCUGCUUGGAGCCUGGUAAAGGAGGGCGGGACCUGGCCUCUCACCUCCCUCAUUUCUCUCUCUCUCUUAUUACUCACAAAAUCCCUCAAGUCAGGAGGAGCAGCCUUUUGGCUUCUCUUUGUCCCUUUUCUCUUCUCCAUCCCGGACACAGAGCAAGAUUCUACGACCUGGUUCACCAAGUCUGUCUCUUGAUAUGAUAAAGGUAGGUGUUAAAUUCAGGAAAUAUUUUCUUUUCUUAAUAAAGUCUGACCUCCAGAUCUACUGUCUUAUUGUAUAUCUGAAAAGCCUAUUUUGAAUGCCAGGAGCUCCACACUGAUUCUUUCUUUCUCUGCAUUUCCACAUGACAGUCUAAACUCCUACCUUCUUCCUCUCUCGUAGGUUCAUGGCCUUGCCCCCAAGACAACUUUUAAUAGUAAUUUUAGUAGGGGUUGUAACCAAUCCUUCAUGUAAAUACAUUCUAUCCACUGAUUUUUAGGCAUCCCACACAGGUCCUUACGGGAGGCAAGAUGUAUGCAGGAGCCGCACUCCAUCCUGUCCCAUGUCUACCUGCUCUACCCGGGGACCAUCCACCUGGGGGCAGAAGGGAAUACCCUCUAUUUCGCUGCAGUCCCGUCACCAUCUGACCCGUGGCUUGAUCUCUGUGGUCUCUGCCUGGAUGUCUCAGGAAAAGCUUCAGCCUUUCAGAGUUCUGCUCUUUCCCUGCCCCUCCCAGCUGGCACUAAAAGAAGGGGCGGGGAGGUCCCCGGACCACCCUCCAGUGUGGGCUCCCCGCUGAUGGGCCAUGCGGUUGCUGGCCUGGAUUGCUCCCUGGCCCUGUGGUCACUGAGGUGCAGCUGGAACGGUCACAGUUUGUGAGGACACGCGUCAGCACCCACUCCUGGAACCUGCUUCCCGUCACCAGUUUCUGGGGUGGGAGACCCUGCGCUGCUCUCUGACCCCGGGCCUCGGCCGCUCUCUGGCCUCGUUGGUGCCCUGCUUACUCUUCCGCAUGUGUCUGCCGCCUUGAGCACCAGGAACCCGGGUGUGGCCAAGGCACAUGGACCUGGCCUUCUCGUGCCACCGCCACCUCCGUGCCCUGUGUCCCCACACCACCCAGGUGUGACAAUUAGCCCCAAACUGGGCCCCUCCCAGAGGCCUGCAGCCUCCCCCAUCACACCCAGACCAAGGAUGCUGGCCACGAACCCUGCUGUUUUCAAUGCUUCCUGCUCUAGGUGUUUCUGAAAGUACUUCCUCCCACCGGCUCUCUCGAGGUGCCUCCAUGCUCCCAGUCCUGGGAGAAAAGGCAACCCGCUGACCGCCUGCCUCCCUGUGCUGUGCGUCCUCCUGUAAUCCCGACUUCCUCCACGACCCGUCCCAAGUCCCGUCCAGACAGACAGACAGCGAGAGACUUCAGAGAAGUGUCCCCCUUUUGCAAAGGAAGGAAUUUACAUUCCAGACAUUCAGGCCUGAUUCUCUGCACACGAAUAAAGCUAAAAGAAAUGAAAAACCACUUAUUUCUCAGCAAAACUUGGCUUUUGAGAUUAUCUUGUUUCAAUCUCAAACAAAUAGAUAAGCAACAGUCUCCUGUGCUAACAGACAGGGACCCUUCUCUGAAGCACUUGGGCCCUAUUCCUCACAGUGUGAGACGUUGCCAGUUAAUAAGAUUUAUGAGACAUGGAAAUGUAUCUGAACAUAAUUCAAAG
Long non-coding RNA from Equus caballus (horse), 6566 nucleotides. Lineage: Eukaryota; Metazoa; Chordata; Mammalia; Perissodactyla; Equidae. The record is from Ensembl.